CAAUAAUGCAUGAAAAGGAUCUUCAUCAAAAAUGAAAAUUGUAAAUUUGAGGUUCAUGUUCGCAAUUAACACAAACAUAAUAUGCUAAACGGAAUUAACAAAAUGCGGUAUAUAAGUUAUUAGCUGAUCCAGCAACACUCAAGUACA
Molecule: long non-coding RNA, 147 nt
Organism: Rhodamnia argentea
Lineage: Eukaryota; Viridiplantae; Streptophyta; Magnoliopsida; Myrtales; Myrtaceae
Exons: 2
Source: RefSeq, a predicted model, not a curated record